Molecule: unclassified non-coding RNA, 284 nt
Filed under: plant metagenome
Description: partial contains small subunit ribosomal RNA, internal transcribed spacer 1, and 5.8S ribosomal RNA
Rfam family: Eukaryotic small subunit ribosomal RNA (bases 1-53)
Source: RNAcentral
GGAAGUAAAAGUCGUACAAAGUUUCCGUAGGUGAACCUGCGGAAGGAUCAUUAUUGUAUAACCGAGGUGCGAGGGCUGUCGCUGACCCGAAAGGUCGUGCACGCCCGAGUGCCCUCACACACAUCCAUCUCACCCCUAUGUGCACCACCGCGUGGGUCCCCCUUUGGCUUGUUCGGAGGGGGGCUUACGUUUUCACACAAACUUUGUAUGCAGUGUAGAAUGUAUUUUUUGUUUUUGCGAUCACGCAAUCAAUACAACUUUCAACAACGGAUCUCUUGGCUCUC